Pipra filicauda (Wire-tailed manakin) is the source of this 263-nucleotide long non-coding RNA. RefSeq lists it as uncharacterized. The record is from RefSeq and is a predicted model, not a curated record. NCBI's taxonomy places the organism in Eukaryota, Metazoa, Chordata, Aves, Passeriformes, Pipridae. The transcript is spliced from 4 exons.
GUGGAAUCAGACUGCCAAGAACGCCUUAUAACACAAGGGAAGUGUCAAGCUCACGAGACCUGUGUCCCUCCAUACAGCUCAGAGAAGGCAGCAUGAAGACAGCUCUACUUUGCUCCUCUACAGUGAACCCUUUGAAAUACUGGCCUCACUUCGAAUACCUAUCCUGCAAGCUGUAACUUUUCCAUACGGGUUAAGGAAAAAACAUCCCUUUUGGAUUCAGCUAUGAAGGGCAAUCUAAUAGAAUAAACGCAACCCAAGCUAAA